Molecule: non-coding RNA, 417 nt
Organism: Kogia breviceps (pygmy sperm whale)
Lineage: Eukaryota; Metazoa; Chordata; Mammalia; Artiodactyla; Physeteridae
Source: RefSeq, a predicted model, not a curated record
GUGGCCUCUAGGCUCUACAAAGCCCUUCAUUUUGGCAGAAAAUACAAUGUCGACCAGCCGCAAAUUAGAGUCAUGGCAUGAGGAAGGGCAAGAACUGAGCUCCUCACAAGGGAGUCAAGAGAGGUGGCAGCAAAAGAAAAUACCAGAAGGGCAGCCUGAAGAGUAGAAAACAGUACAAUGACGCCACUCGCAAUUCCUGCUCCCACUUGUGACUCCACCAGUGGGCUCUGCCCUGGUGGACUUCAAAUGACACCAGGCAGCAACAGAGAACAGAAGGGGGACUGCCAAGGAGACCUGAAGUUACAUCAAAACCAGAGAAGAGCCUAUCAUGGGGAUAAAAUGUCAGUCAUGAUGAAAUGAGGAAUGUAUAUGUUGGCUCUUUCUCCCCAACAUUUCAAUAAACAUUUGAAAACUGAA